CCUACGGGGGGCAGCAGUGAGGAAUAUUGGUCAAUGGACGAGAGUCUGAACCAGCCAAGUAGCGUGAAGGAUGACUGCCCUAUGGGUUGUAAACUUCUUUUAUAUGGGAAUAAAAUGUUCCACGUGUGGGAUUUUGUAUGUACCAUAUGAAUAAGGAUCGGCUAACUCCGUGCCAGCAGCCGCGGUAAUACGGAGGAUCCGAGCGUUAUCCGGAUUUAUUGGGUUUAAAGGGAGCGUAGGUGGAUUGUUAAGUCAGUUGUGAAAGUUUGCGGCUCAACCGUAAAAUUGCAGUUGAAACUGGCAGUCUUGAGUACAGUAGAGGUGGACGGAAUUCGUGGUGUAGCGGUGAAAUGCUUAGAUAUCACGAAGAACUCCGAUUGCGAAGGCAGUUCACUGGACUGCAACUGACACUGAGGCUCGAAAGUGUGGGUAUCAAACAGGAUUAGAUACCCCUGUAGUC
Molecule: ribosomal RNA, 460 nt
Filed under: uncultured bacterium
Lineage: Bacteria
Description: partial 16S ribosomal RNA
Rfam family: Bacterial small subunit ribosomal RNA
Source: RNAcentral